UACGUAGGGGGCAAGCGUUAUCCGGAUUUACUGGGUGUAAAGGGAGCGUAGACGGAAUGGCAAGUCUGAAGUGAAAUACCCGGGCUCAACCUGGGAACUGCUUUGGAAACUGUUGUUCUAGAGUGUUGGAGAGGUAAGUGGAAUUCCUGGUGUAGCGGUGAAAUGCGUAGAUAUCAGGAAGAACACCGGAGGCGAAGGCGGCUUACUGGACAAUAACUGACGUUGAGGCUCGAAAGCGUGGGGAUCAAACAGG
RNAcentral lists this ribosomal RNA (253 nucleotides) under uncultured bacterium. Its description in RNAcentral is "partial 16S ribosomal RNA". It matches the Rfam family "Bacterial small subunit ribosomal RNA", at positions 524 to 776 of the family's 1533-position model. The record is from RNAcentral. RNAcentral also lists the same sequence under 2 other names.